This 253-nucleotide ribosomal RNA is filed under the name uncultured bacterium. Its description in RNAcentral is "partial 16S ribosomal RNA". It matches the Rfam family "Bacterial small subunit ribosomal RNA", at positions 524 to 776 of the family's 1533-position model. The record is from RNAcentral.
UACGGAGGGUGCAAGCAUUGAUCGGAAUUACUGGGCGUAAAGGGCGCGUAGGCGGCUAGAAAAGUCGGAUGUGAAAUUCCGGGGCUCAACCCCGGAGCUGCAUUUGAAACUCUCUAGCUAGAGUACAGUUAGGGUAAACGGAAUUCCACGUGUAGCGGUGAAAUGCGUAGAUAUGUGGAAGAACACCGGUGGUGAAGACGGUUUACUGGGCUGUAACUGACGCUGAGGCGCGAAAGCAUGGGGAGCAAACAGG